CAGUCGCCACGGUAAAACAGAGGGUGCGAGCGUUAAUCGGAUUUACUGGGCGUAAAGCGUGCGUAGGCGGCUUUUUAAGUCGGAUGUGAAAUCCCUGAGCUUAACUUAGGAAUUGCAUUCGAUACUGGGAAGCUAGAGUAUGGGAGAGGAUGGUAGAAUUCCAGGUGUAGCGGUGAAAUGCGUAGAGAUCUGGAGGAAUACCGAUGGCGAAGGCAGCUAUCUGGCCUAAUACUGACGCUGAGGUACGAAAGCAUGGGGAGCAAACAGGAUUAGAUACCCCUGUAGUCCCUGUCUCUUAUAC
Molecule: ribosomal RNA, 301 nt
Filed under: uncultured bacterium
Lineage: Bacteria
Description: partial 16S ribosomal RNA
Rfam family: Bacterial small subunit ribosomal RNA
Source: RNAcentral